GGGUUGUGAGGUUAAGCGACUAAGCGUACACGGUGGAUGCCCUGGCAGUCAGAGGCGAUGAAGGACGUGCUAAUCUGCGAAAAGCGUCGGUAAGGUGAUAUGAACCGUUACAGCCGGCGAUGUCCGAAUGGGGAAACCCAGUGUGAUUCGUCACACUAUCGUUAACUGAAUACAUAGGUUAACGAGGCGAACCGGGGGAACUGAAACAUCUAAGUACCCCGAGGAAAAGAAAUCAACCGAGAUUCCCCCAGUAGCGGCGAGCGAACGGGGAGCAGCCCAGAGUCUGAAUCAGCUUGUGUGUUAGUGGAACGGUCUGGAAAGUCCGACGGUACAGGGUGAUAGUCCCGUACACCAAAAUGCACAGGCUGUGAACUCGAAGAGUAGGGCGGGACACGUGGUAUCCUGUCUGAAUAUGGGGGACCAUCCUCCAAGGCUAAAUACUCCUGACUGACCGAUAGUGAACCAGUACCGUGAGGGAAAGGCGAAAAGAACCCCGGCGAGGGGAGUGAAAAGAACCUGAAACCGUGUACGUACAAGCAGUGGGAGCACCUUCGGGUGUGACUGCGUACCUUUUGUAUAAUGGGUCAGCGACUUAUAUUCUGUAGCAAGGUUAACCGUAUAGGGGAGCCGCAGGGAAACCGAGUCUUAACUGGGCGUUAAGUUGCAGGGUAUAGACCCGAAACCCGGUGAUCUAGCCAUGGGCAGGUUGAAGGUUGGGUAACACUAACUGGAGGACCGAACCGACUAAUGUUGAAAAAUUAGCGGAUGACUUGUGGCUGGGGGUGAAAGGCCAAUCAAACCGGGAGAUAGCUGGUUCUCCCCGAAAGCUAUUUAGGUAGCGCCUCGUGAACUCAUCUUCGGGGGUAGAGCACUGUUUCGGCUAGGGGGUCAUCCCGACUUACCAACCCGAUGCAAACUACGAAUACCGAAGAAUGUUAUCACGGGAGACACACGGCGGGUGCUAACGUCCGUCGUGAAGAGGGAAACAACCCAGACCGCCAGCUAAGGUCCCAAAGUCACAGUUAAGUGGGAAACGAUGUGGGAAGGCACAGACAGCCAGGAUGUUGGCUUAGAAGCAGCCAUCAUUUAAAGAAAGCGUAAUAGCUCACUGGUCGAGUCGGCCUGCGCGGAAGAUGUAACGGGGCUAAACUGUGCACCGAAGCUGCGGCAGCGACACUAUGUGUUGUUGGGUAGGGGAGCGUUCUGUAAGCCUGCGAAGGUGGCCUGUGAGGGUUGCUGGAGGUAUCAGAAGUGCGAAUGCUGACAUAAGUAACGAUAAUGCGGGUGAAAAGCCCGCACGCCGGAAGACCAAGGGUUCCUGUCCAACGUUAAUCGGGGCAGGGUGAGUCGACCCCUAAGGCGAGGCCGAAAGGCGUAGUCGAUGGGAAACAGGUUAAUAUUCCUGUACUUGGUGUUACUGCGAAGGGGGGACGGAGAAGGCUAUGUUAGCCGGGCGACGGUUGUCCCGGUUUAAGCAUGUAGGCGGAGGUUCCAGGUAAAUCCGGUACCUUUUUAACGCUGAGGUGUGAUGACGAGGCACUACGGUGCUGAAGUAACAAAUGCCCUGCUUCCAGGAAAAGCCUCUAAGCAUCAGGUAACAUUAAAUCGUACCCCAAACCGACACAGGUGGUCAGGUAGAGAAUACCAAGGCGCUUGAGAGAACUCGGGUGAAGGAACUAGGCAAAAUGGUGCCGUAACUUCGGGAGAAGGCACGCUGAUAUGUAGGUGAAGCCCCUGCGGGUGGAGCUGAAAUCAGUCGAAGAUACCAGCUGGCUGCAACUGUUUAUUAAAAACACAGCACUGUGCAAACACGAAAGUGGACGUAUACGGUGUGACGCCUGCCCGGUGCCGGAAGGUUAAUUGAUGGGGUUAUCCGUAAGGAGAAGCUCUUGAUCGAAGCCCCGGUAAACGGCGGCCGUAACUAUAACGGUCCUAAGGUAGCGAAAUUCCUUGUCGGGUAAGUUCCGACCUGCACGAAUGGCGUAAUGAUGGCCAGGCUGUCUCCACCCGAGACUCAGUGAAAUUGAACUCGCUGUGAAGAUGCAGUGUACCCGCGGCAAGACGGAAAGACCCCGUGAACCUUUACUAUAGCUUGACACUGAACAUUGAGCCUUGAUGUGUAGGAUAGGUGGGAGGCUUUGAAGCGUGGACGCCAGUCUGCGUGGAGCCAACCUUGAAAUACCACCCUUUAAUGUUUGAUGUUCUAACGUUGGCCCCUUAUCGGGGUUGCGGACAGUGUCUGGUGGGUAGUUUGACUGGGGCGGUCUCCUCCCAAAGAGUAACGGAGGAGCACGAAGGUUAGCUAAUCCUGGUCGGACAUCAGGAGGUUAGUGCAAUGGCAUAAGCUAGCUUGACUGCGAGCGUGACGGCGCGAGCAGGUGCGAAAGCAGGUCAUAGUGAUCCGGUGGUUCUGAAUGGAAGGGCCAUCGCUCAACGGAUAAAAGGUACUCCGGGGAUAACAGGCUGAUACCGCCCAAGAGUUCAUAUCGACGGCGGUGUUUGGCACCUCGAUGUCGGCUCAUCACAUCCUGGGGCUGAAGUAGGUCCCAAGGGUAUGGCUGUUCGCCAUUUAAAGUGGUACGCGAGCUGGGUUUAGAACGUCGUGAGACAGUUCGGUCCCUAUCUGCCGUGGGCGCUGGAGAAUUGAGGGGGGCUGCUCCUAGUACGAGAGGACCGGAGUGGACGCAUCACUGGUGUUCGGGUUGUCAUGCCAAUGGCAUUGCCCGGUAGCUAAAUGCGGAAGAGAUAAGUGCUGAAAGCAUCUAAGCACGAAACUUGCCCCGAGAUGAGUUCUCCCUGAGACUUUAAGUCUCCUGAAGGAACGUUAAAGACGAUGACGUUGAUAGGUCGGGUGUGUAAGCGUAGCGAUACGUUGAGCUAACCGAUACUAAUGAACCGUGAGGCUUAACCUUACAACGCCGAAGGUGUUU
This 2930-nucleotide ribosomal RNA is filed under the name Klebsiella aerogenes. Its description in RNAcentral is "23S ribosomal RNA". It matches the Rfam family "Bacterial large subunit ribosomal RNA". Lineage: Bacteria; Pseudomonadati; Pseudomonadota; Gammaproteobacteria; Enterobacterales; Enterobacteriaceae. The record is from RNAcentral.